This 233-nucleotide ribosomal RNA is filed under the name uncultured bacterium. RNAcentral's name for it is "partial 16S ribosomal RNA". It matches the Rfam family "Bacterial small subunit ribosomal RNA", at positions 100 to 334 of the family's 1533-position model. The record is from RNAcentral.
CGGGACGGGUGAGUAAUGUCUGGGAAACUGCCUGAUGGAGGGGGAUAACUACUGGAAACGGUAGCUAAUACCGCAUAACGUCGCAAGACCAAAGAGGGGGACCUUCGGGCCUCUUGCCAUCGGAUGUGCCCAGAUGGGAUUAGCUAGUAGGUGGGGUAACGGCUCACCUAGGCAACGAUCCCUAGCUGGUCUGAGAGGAUGACCAGCCACACUGGAACUGAGACACGGUCCAG